Lutra lutra (Eurasian river otter) is the source of this 264-nucleotide long non-coding RNA. RefSeq lists it as uncharacterized. The transcript is spliced from 4 exons. The record is from RefSeq and is a predicted model, not a curated record. NCBI's taxonomy places the organism in Eukaryota, Metazoa, Chordata, Mammalia, Carnivora, Mustelidae.
GGAAAUCCCGAGGGGUUUGACACUUUUCAUCCUCCAGCCAUUAAUCAUUUUGUAGAGAAAGGCUAUAUAUUGGUGGGAAUAAAAACAAGCAGUUCCUGGCCGGUGAUACUCCAGUUAAGGGUGUCUGACUGACAGCAUGUUGGCACCAGCAUUGAAGGAAGUGAUGGGCUUUCGCUCCAGGUUCCUGUCCUGAGACCACAGCAGGAUGUGCCUUGGACAAAGGCUUAAAUUCCUGGGAUCAUCUGGUGACUUCAAGAAUCUGGU